This 4518-nucleotide long non-coding RNA is filed under the name Pelobates cultripes (western spadefoot toad). The record is from RNAcentral. Lineage: Eukaryota; Metazoa; Chordata; Amphibia; Anura; Pelobatidae.
CACAUAAUGAAAUAUGAAAUUCACUUUGAAUUCUCAUUGUAGUAAAUAUACUCCUAUGACUAUUUUGUGAUGAUUUAAGAACUUUUUUUAUUUGUGUAACACCUCCUUGUAUGUUGUGGGGAGUAGACAUCUGCCUUGCAAAACUUGGCCAAAGUAGUCAUAUUGGGGAAAAAAAUAUCUCCAAAUCAGUUGCGUCUAAGAAUUUUUCCAGUUUAUCUUAUUUUGACCUACAUUUUACAAUUAGGAGUUAAAUCUCUUUAUUUAUGACCUGGAUCCAUUUAUAGCUGGAUAUUGUUAAUACAUAUAAAAAAAUCAAUAUUUAAAAAGUUGCUUUUAUCCCUCUGAGUGAACACUAUAGAGAUGAUGAACAUUUAAGUCUCUAUGCUACUAGCCAAGCUUAAAAGUUACUUGCCUCUGCAAGCCUGGAGGGUCUAUGGCACACUAACCAAGAAUUUUCUACUGGCCAUAGCUGAAUUUUCACUCACCAAUGGCUAGUGGGCAUGUGUAUAUUUGAGCUCUGAUUAAGGUGCGAUAAAGUUUAGCUAUUUUUCUUAUCCUGGGAUUUAAGUUACUGGCACAUUCUCCAAGAAAGGGGCAUUUUAAUGGUGCAGAGCAGUCUUUGAAAUAAGCAGUUGGGUUGUAUAUAUUAAUGGUGCUGAUAUUUAGGGCUAAUUGUUCAGUAAUGGCAGGUGGAGAAUGAUGUCCUCCAUUCUAUGGUGCUUUUUAUAUAUGUGUUUUCAGUGACGAGGAAUGAAGUAAAAAUGCUAAUGUACAUCACAGCUUAUGUACACGGGUCAGCCCUCACUUACUGAAUAGUAUUAGCCGGCAUCAGGCAAAUCAUGUACCAGCAAUCAUUUUAGCUUGUGCCACACCUAGGGACACGUUCCAUAUUGCCAUGCUGAUCGACAAAUCCCAAAAUCCCUGGCAUUACAAAUAAAUAUAUGUGCUCAGGGCAUCCUGCUUUCUGAGUUAUUACCUUUAACAGCAAGGUUAUUCACUAAGGUGUGAAUUGCAAGGGAUUCAAAGUGAAAUCAAAGUUAGUCGACCUGAAAACACAGCUGGUUUACAAAAUGUUUCCAGUUUGGCUGUUUUACCCCAAAAUCGGGAAAUGUAACCUAUACAGGGUUAUUCACUAAAGUGAGAGUUGUUGGGAAUUCAAAGUGAGUUUCAAAGUAAUUGAACUGGAAGAAUUCCUGACUUGGAGAAUGUUUCCAGUUUGGUUAGUUUGAUCUGGAAAUUCACUUUGAACUCACUGGGAAUUCUUGGCUAGACUCACUUUAGUGAAUACGUGAUAAAGGUCUAUGUAAGGGUUAGACAGGCUAUGGUCUUACAGCUACUGCCCAACUGCAAUCCUAGUUACUCUCAGCCAGCCAAAGAAACAGAGGAUACUACAGAGCAAAUUGGGUUAUGAACUAUUGUCUCUUGAUGAGAGUUCAGUGUCAGAUCUUCAUGGAAAUGAAUAUCCAUCCAUUCACAGCCGGAGGGCCAAGACUGGAUACCCCCCGAUACCCUUACUUAAAGGGACACUCUAGGCAGUACACAAUACAUUUUUUGUAAUGCUUUAUAUUGAUAAUGCAUUUAAAAUAUAUAUAAAUACAAAAUAAAUUUUUUUAAAAAUAGAAAACCUAAAGAUGACAUUACUGCAUUUGCUUCAAAUCAACAGGCUUUGCAGCUUCUGCAGUGAGGCAGUAUUAAUCAAAAAAAAAGUGGGAGUUUGGGUCCUGAUUAUUUGGUGAGAUUUUCUGCAGCCACACAAUAUUGCGUCUCGUGAUCCACCAUGUUUUCCUGGCCAUAUAACUCUUAUUCUAACUGACAAGCAAUACAUAAAACAAAUUGACUGUAAUAUGUAGCAUUCAUAUGCUACAGCAGGAGGGAGAUUAAUCAAGGCAGUUCUUUUUAGAUUCCAUCAGGAUAAGUAUUACAGACAAUAGGUUAGCACUCUUCAUGUACUGCCCAACAACAUGUAUGAGAGACACGUGUCCCAGAAAGUCUGUUUAUCUACCAGCUCUCUAAUUAACAUGAAUCCAGCCCCAAGCACUUACAAACAAUCUUCUUGAUGACAAGGACGUUUUGGUCAAACAAUAUGAAGCUUAUAAUUUCAAUUAACUUAUUAAAAAUUACUUUUCGUUUUCCUGUCUAUUUUAAAAGUUCCUUUUUUUGCGUGUUUGAUCAGUUACUGUUUUUACUAGACUAUCACCUGCUGGGAAUUUAAAGCAAAUUUUACAUUUCAGACCACACUAGUCAAACUGGAAAUAUUCUCCAAGUUAGCUAUAUUUUCAGUUUUCAGCUAUAAUCACACUUUAGUGAAUAACUUUGCAGGUGUGAGAAGUUGAACUUUAAUUAAUUAUUUGUUGCUGGGUCUGCCAUGUUUUUACUGGAAGGCUUACAGGCUUGAUGUCUUGCUGUUGGGCUGUACAUGAAAAGUUCUCGCUUACAGUAUGUAACGUCCACAUGCUGCUGAAGAGAAAUCUGUUUAUCGCAGUGUUUACAUCCGACACACAUUAAACUGUCAUUAUAUUCGUUACGGAUUUGGUUAUAGACAGUGUAAGGUCUUAAUUAAAUAAAUGAGAAAAUAAACAGGCAAGUUAUCUCGAGAUGUGUUGGAUAUCAGUAUAAGUACUUUAAAAUGCUCAUGUCUAGUCACACGUGGGUAGAAAAUAACAGGUAUUCUCAAUUUCUUGUGAAAUUAGCAGCUUACUGGCUCAUUAACUUCUUCAUUACCAAUUUAUUAGCAAACAAAUGACCACUGCAAUCUAGAUUGAUUUUAAGUUAUGUUGUAUCUCUUAUUUUAUUGGGGCACUUGCACAAAGAAUGUGUCCUUUAACCCUCUCCGAUGCAUAUUUCAAAGUUUUAUUGGAGGCAAAAUUAAGUGAUUAAUACAGUCUUCAUUUCACUUAGUUACUGAAUUACCAUACCUCCCAAGUCUUUCUUUAGGAGGGACAGUUCCUACUUUAUCCCCAAAUAUCAUCUAUCCCUUUUUUCUAUCCUAAUGUCCCUCUUUUCUAGUAGCUUCGUAUUGUUAGUGUGUGAGUGUAUAACGAAGCUCCACAGCAAUAAUACUCCCAGUAAUGUGUCUUUAAACUACAAUAAAUGUGUUUAGAAACCAGUCUGUGGAAAUAAGACACAUUGUUCUUGUUUUACGUUACAUUUUAGGUUCCAUUAAUCAGUAGGUUAUGACAUCACCUAAAAGGUCCUGUUAUAACCCCGCCGCUGGCUACAUAAUUCAGAGCGAAGAGUCUCUUUUUGGCACAUGAAAUGCUGGAAAGUAUAAAAAAGUAAUUAUUUUCAAUUAUAUUUAGUAAUAAUGUUUUUUUUUUAAAGUGCCUCUAAUAACAGCAGCAAGAGGUAAUAUUACUCCCUGUGUCAUGUGUUCUGCUCACUCAGAUUUAAUCAUAUAUCUAAUUAUCAGCUUUACAUUUAUAUUUAAAACUUUUCAACACUUGGGGUAAGUCUUAUAGGUGAGAUUUCUAGUAGCAGCAGGUAUUUAGUUGGUUUAUGAAUUAACUGUUGGCUUGUAAGAACUGCUUAGUAAGUGGAAGGCUGAGACAAUUUCAUCAGCGGUUGUUGGACCAGUGGACACGGCCACCAAUGAUCCAUUUAUUCUGAACAUUUCAAUUUUUCCAAAAUUUGGUAAUCCAUAAAGGUACACUAUAGGCACCCUGACCAGUUCAGUUCAUUAAAGUGCGCUGGGUGCAGUGACCCUGUCCCCGUAAUCCUGCAAUGUUAAUUCUGAGAAAUUUCAAUAAUUACCUUGCAGGGUUAAGACUUCCUCUAGUGGCUGUUAAUCAGACAGCCACUAGAGGCACUUACUGGUGGUUAGGUGACUUCUGGUUGCCUAACUGACGCUGGACAUCCUCAUGCUCUGCAUGAGAACAUCGAGCAUCAGUCAAAACCCUCAUAGAAAAGCAUUGCCGAAAGGGCCUAAUAUGCUUGCAGCAUUUACAGUGCAUGCGCAUUAUCGUUUCCCCCGUUGGAUACGUCGGAGGGGGCAGAGUGCAGACUGAGCACCAAGGGACAUCGGCACUGGAAUCGGGUUGGUAUAGUAAGGGUUUAACCCUUACACUGCUGGGGAGCUAUAGUGCUAGGAAUACAACGUUGUACUCCUAGCACUAUAGUUUCCCUUUAAAUCUUGGACUAUUACAUGGACAUUGAAAGUGGACAAAAAUGGAAUAGAAUGAAAUCUGUAAAGAUGGGUAUCAUGUAGCACAUUGUAGCUAGCCUUUUUCUAAUUUAAUAAAAAAAUAAAAAUAAAAAAAAUCAAUUGCAAUUAUAAUAAUAUUGAUAGAGAGUUUUAACAAAGGUCAGAUAUUUUGCUGUGUGGCGUUUUCCUGUUAGGGUAGUUAUUUGGCCUUAUGGGUGAUUUUAGGCUACAGGAUCACAUUAAAUAGGAUCCAUGUUGUAUAUACUUCUAUUUAUGGUUCAUCAUACAUUUUGUUAUUUUUCUGAAGGCAAGGAGGUGUGCUUGUUAUAGCGGUUUAUGUGCAGAUAUUUAAGACGAAAUAAAUAUAUAUAAAAAAU